RNA transcript from Nasonia vitripennis (jewel wasp), 3636 nucleotides. RefSeq lists it as uncharacterized. NCBI's taxonomy places the organism in Eukaryota, Metazoa, Arthropoda, Insecta, Hymenoptera, Pteromalidae. The transcript is spliced from 8 exons. The record is from RefSeq and is a predicted model, not a curated record.
AUUCAUACAAUGAUCUGUCGUAACUAUAACAGCUCCGAUAAAUAAUAUAAGUAUAUCUUAACUCUAAAUGAAAAUUCGCCUUUUGUUUAUCAUAAGCAAAUUAAUAUUGAUAGAAGAUCUGGCUUAAUAUUUCUGCUGUGAGCUGUAGGAAAUAAAAUUAUCUUAUCAAAAGUUUGUAGUAGUUAAAAAUUGAAACAAUUUUUAAUAUUUAACAUACAGCCAACAUAAAACUGCCACAACUUCAUGCAUAAUUAGUUAUACAAGUUUGAUUGUAUAUACAUUAUUGACAUCAAUUUUUAAAUGUUUGAUAAACAGUUUUAAAACGUUAUUAAAACCUAUAAAAAUCACAUGAAAUUUUAAAAUUGAUAUAAUUUUGCUUGAGUCUAGAAAAAGAAUAAAUUAAAAAAUGAGUGGUAGCGAUAGUGACAGUGAUAGUAACAAAAUUAAGAACUGGCCAUUUAAAUGUACUUGUAAAUGUGGUGCUGCAAAUUGUUUGGAUGAUUCUUAUACAGACUGUGAUGACACUGAAUCUGAGGAAUCAUUUUCUAUAGAUAACAAGAAAACUAUAUUUAUAUCUAUUUUUAAUAACAAGACUCAAAGAAAUAAAAAUCUUAUAAGUGAUACUGUUGAGAUAAAGAAUUAUCGUGAACAGUAUCAAAAAUUACCAUUGAAAAAUGUUAAUAAUAUAAAAAAGAUUUGGGCUGAUGUUAAAGUAGACAUGCCAUUAUUAGGACAAGUACCUUUAAAAUGCAUUGAUAAUGAACUAACUGAAGUUAAAAAAGACAAAUAUAGUCAUAAAAAGAAAUUAAAAAAGCCUACUCAUUUGAUGCAGAACAAAUUAUCUGCUGAUUCUCCAGCAAAUAAUUCUCAACAAUCUGUUGUUGCUGAUAAAUCUCAUAAAAUAGUACAACCAGUAGUGAAGCAAGUACAUGAAAAACUACCCCAAGCUCAAAUAAAUAAAAAUAAUAACAAAGAUACCAAAAUAAAGAAAGCAAACGAAUCAAUUUUAAAAGGGGCUACAAAAAAUACUACUAGUAAUGAAAAUAAAAAUCCAAAGAAUGAACCAAAACUUUCAGACAAAUUAACUCAAUCUGUCAAACCACACAUAAUUAAAGACAACUUAAAACCCAAUACAGGUAAAACUGUAAACUCUAAUUCAAAUGCAUUAACAAGCAUUCAGCCUAUUAUAGAAAAUAAUAGUACAAAUAAUAUUUCAAAUAUAUCAAAUAAAAAAUCAAAUAAUCGAAAUAAUUCUGUGAAGGUUGAUACAAUAAAAACUCCUGUCAAAGCUGUUGUUGAAAAUAAAAUUAAAAAGAAUGAAGAAAAUAAAAAGAAAACUAUUGCAGAUUCAUGUUUACCAAAAGAAGAAUCCAAAGAAGAAAUGAAGAUUGCAAAAAUUAAUCUAAGCACACAGUCGUAUACAAAAUCUAUUUCAAAAGUUAAGAGUGAAAACUCUAAUUCAGGUAUAUCAAAUAUGAAAUCUAGUGCAGAAGAUAAGACUGUAAAAGUUGAUAAUUUAGUAAAAUCAGAAGCAAAAAUUAAUACAGAAAAUAGAGAAAAAACUAAUUUAGUUGAGCUAAAUUCAAAAUCUAAUACAGAAAACAAAAUUGUAAAAGAUGAAUCUAUCAAUUUAAAUGUGGAAUCUGAUGUAGAAAGUGAAACUUUAAAUAACAAUUUAAAUAAAAAGUUAAAAUUAGAGGUGAUUGAAUUUAUAAUACCUAAUUCAAAUAAAAUCAUACCUUCAUCUAACAGAAAUGAAAAAGAAAAAUCUGCAAAUGAUAAAAAUUUGCAAUCAAAUAAAAAGCUUUCUAAGAAGCAAAAGAAAAAAAUGCGUCAAAAGGAAAAGAAUUUAGGGGCAAAUGUUAAAGACAUAUCAACUUCCAAUUCAAGAGAUUUAUCCAUGUCUAGUUCUAAGUCAUUUGAUGAUAAAAAGUCAAAAAAUAAUUCAAAUAAAAAUGUUAAAGAGGAAGCUGCUAAGGCUAAGAAAAAGGAACUUAAUAAUACAGACAAAGACAAGACUAAAAAUAAGAAACUCAUUGAACUCGAACAUUCAGAACAAGAUACAGAAGAAUUUGAAAUUGAGGAAAUGAAUAGCAUCAGUAAUGAUAAUCUGGAUUUAUUAACAGAUACAAAACAUAUGCCAACAUUUAUUGCUGACAUUAUUAAGCGCAAAAAAAAAAAAAACAAGCCAAAACAAAGCCAGUAACUGAAACACAAACAAAAAAUAACAGUAAAAAGAAUAAUGAGCAAGAAAAAUUAAAAAUUUAUAAUGAACAAGAGUUUACUACUGUUAUUACGAGAAAACGUCAACACUUGCCAAUUUCUGAUAAUAAAGAUUGUAUAAUCUAUAGUGAAAAAUAUGCAGAACAAGGUGCUAAACUGAUCCUUGAUAACAAUCUCAUGGGAGCACUACAAUGUAUUACUGCAGCUAUCGACUAUAAUCAGUCUGACUACAGACAUUAUUUAAAUCGUUGUUAUUGUUUUUUAAGAAUGAAGCAACCUGUAUUCGCUUUAGCAGAUGCUCAAUACGUAAUUCGUUUGUGCACUAAUAUUGGACAUCUAUUUAUAGCAAAUUUAAGAGCUGGACAAGCUGCCUAUGCUCUUCAGGAUUACAAGCAAGCUGAGUAUUUUUUAAAAGAAGCUACUCGUAUGGAUCCAGAAAAUUACCAUGCUCAAAGAGAAUUGCUUCGUGUAAAAAUUUCACACAUUAUAAGCCUUGGAUUCAAUGAGAAAGAUGCUUUAAUGGCAUUACAAAAGUAUCCUUCCGUACUGGAAGCUAUUAGUUAUUUAAAUAAAUCUCAGAAGAAUUCAAGUAUUUCCAAGUUUAACAAUAACUUUGACAUUCGCGAUUAUAAUUGUGAUGAUAUGGUGUUUUCAUCAGGUGACGAAGAAGAAUCUGAGAAUUUUGAAACAUUUAAUAGGAUGUUAAACUAUCAGCCUGGCAAAGUAAAAAUUCUGCAUCUUGUGGCUAAACCAGUAAAAUCUGAACUUUUAGGAGGAUUUAGCAAUUGUGACAAAGAUAAUAAACUACAUAUUAACCUGAAACCAAAAAGAAAAUUCGUUCCAACUAACAAAUCUGCUAAUGAUAAAGCAAUAUGGGUUGGUAGCUUGACAAAUGAUAUUACUGAGCAAAUGUUGAAAAAGAAAUUUAAGCAAUUUGGUAACGUCAUCUCUGUCUACCGUCCAUGUAACGAGGCAUAUGCUUUUAUUAAUUUUGAAAAAAGUGAAGAUGUGACUAAUACUUUAAUAAAUACCUCUGCUCACGAAAUCGCUGGUAUAAAGUUGGCCGUCAGAUCGGCUUUGCGUCAGAAGUAAUAUUUCUGAGACGAAAGGUUGUUCUCCUAGUAUAUAAUAUCCAAACUAUAAUCCAUGCUUUUUUUGAAGUUUUUAAUCGUUUAUAAAUUGAACAAAUGUGUAUUAUUUCUUAAAAAACCAAAGUUAUUUAUUGAUUUAAAAUAGUUUUCAAUUUCUUUAAUGUAACUCAAAUAUAAUUCUCAUAAAUAUAAGACGAGGUGUACCAAUAUGUGUAUCUAGAAAGUCGUUGAUGUUUAAUGUUUACAAAUAUUAUUUAUACAAUAUUACGUACUUUAGCAUGUUGUAUGAUAAUAAAUAUGUAAUUUAUACAUUUAACUUGAA